GAUGAAGAACGUAGCGAAAUGCGAUAAGUAGUGUGAAUUGCAGAAUUCAGUGAAUCAUCGAAUCUUUGAACGCACAUUGCGCCCUCUGGUAUUCCGGAGGGCAUGCCUGUUCGAGCGUCAUUAUCCAUCCCUCAAACGACCUUUUUGGCUUGUUUGGUGUUGGGUGUUUUCCGAAUCGUUGUGAUUUGGACACCUCAAAGGUAAUGACGGUGUUCUCGUUAGAACUCAUCGCACUGAGCUUUUUUACAAAGGCACGCGGUGUCGGUACUACGAGUCAACCCGGUCUCCUCGUGACUUUUUUGACGAAAAGUCACACAUUUUUUACAAGGUUGACCUCGGAUCAGGUAGGGAUACCCGCUGAACUUAAGCAUAUCAAUAAGCGGAGGA
RNAcentral lists this unclassified non-coding RNA (387 nucleotides) under soil metagenome. Its description in RNAcentral is "partial contains 5.8S ribosomal RNA, internal transcribed spacer 2, and large subunit ribosomal RNA". The stretch from base 1 to 120 matches the Rfam family "5.8S ribosomal RNA", at positions 35 to 154 of the family's 154-position model. The record is from RNAcentral.